This 2106-nucleotide unclassified non-coding RNA is filed under the name Hevea brasiliensis (rubber tree). The record is from RNAcentral. Lineage: Eukaryota; Viridiplantae; Streptophyta; Magnoliopsida; Malpighiales; Euphorbiaceae.
AAAUCACAAUCGAAAUAACGAAAAAUCAAAUUAAAAUCAUUUUGAAAUUUUAAUUUGAUUUUAAUUUUUAGGCAAAUUUCAAAUCGAAUCAAAAUUACACACUCUUAGUUGACAGCUAGGUCCAGCGUGCAGAUCAUCCAAGAACUGAGCCGGGCCUAAGACAUGAAAUCCACUGCAGAUCAUCCAAUGUGUUCAGAUAUCAAUGUAAUUGAAUCAACACACUUUCCGACAAUUUCUUUUCAUUGUUAUGGUAUAUGUUCUUUUUCUAAUUAUAAGAGAGGCUGAGGGGAAAACACGUAGCAAGUAAAAAGGAAAAGGAAAGGAAGUUACUGUGGAAUGGAUAAAAAGGGCACAUCAUGCACAUACAGCAACUGCAGCAAGAUUAUCACGCCUUGUCUGAAUAAACAUCUGUCGGAAUUGCUCAAAUCUGCCAUCCUUGAUUGCUUCUCUUAUUGACUGGAAGAACCCGAGGUAAUGGUGAGUAUUAUGUAUUUCUAAUAGAAUCUGAGCCAACAUCUCGUGGACAUUGAGUAGGUGAUUGAUGUAAGCUUUAGUAUGAUUCUGGCAAGUAUAGCAGGUACAGCUUGCAACAAUUGGUGAUGUGUCUUUCCUGUAAACUGUUGCUUUCAGAUUAAUCUUUGUUUGGUCAAUUCCCAUAUCAGUGGACUUAAAACCAGAUGCAUUUGUUUCAAUCCUAUCCAGAGGAAAGGUAAGUGCAAAGCCUCCAAGUGUAAGAUUAUAAAUAUACGAUGAGUCAAAAAGAUCAAUGCCAGCCGCAACUCCCUGCAACACCUCCUCUAUCAAAUGCAAAAAAGAAUACAUUGUUAUCAGAAACCAUAUAAGAAAACAAUAAAUUUAAUAAAGAAAAUAAAAAAAAGAAAGGAAGAAUAAAACACUCAGAAAAUCAACAAUUUGAGAAAUGAUAUGUGAGAGCAGAGUGAAGUAGUAGACUUGAACUUAAACCAUUAGAAAAAGCGAUGAACACUGCCAGCAUUUAAAAUUUUGGUUGAAGUCCUGGCCAUGAUGUUGCAGAAGCAGGCUAUUGUAGAUACUGCUACAUAAUGGUUUUGGACAUCAUGGACAUGAAUCCUUUAGGGACGCAAAUUAUCUGGUAGUCCAAGCCCACAGACAAGGCGUGGCUUUUCCUCUGGUAAACUAUCCUGAGCAUUUUGUAAUAGUGUUAGAACUCGACCAUUAACGAAAGACAAAAUUGUUCAUGUUAAUACAGCAAACAAUCUCCUACAUAAUUUCCUUGCAGUCACUUGACUACUGAACCUUAUUUAUUGUGGUUUUAGUCAUGUUCUCAUCUCAUCCCAUGAAAUUUCACAAGAGACAUUUCUCCAACAUAAACAAAUCAAUAUAAUUCCCAAAUUAACAUAAAAUAAUGCAUAGUAUUGCAUACUAUAAUGGAAAACCAUAAAAUAAAAUAUAUCUGACCCUACUGUACGAAACUUUUCAUACAUAUUUAGAUAUUUGACAUGAGAGCAUCUUAUUUUUUACAGUCUGGUUAGGAGGUUCAGUGUGAGUCUUUUCCUUAUCCAAUACUAACCUUUAAUGAGAUGAUCUAUUGGAAUAAUCUAUACAUUGACCAGUCCCAUUGAGAAUUAUUAACAAUGUCCUAUUGAGACUUAUUAUGAAUUAAGAAGGAAAAGGAAUACAUAACCUUAUGACAUUUGUGUUAUAGACAUUUUACAAGCCAUGGAGCUUGUUUUACUUCAUAAUGAGCAUAGUUUGAUCAUCAUAGCUCAGGUAGAUGUAUGCUCUAUUCCUGAUUUGGGGUUGUAAAUUCACACAUAGUACUCCAAUUGUCUUAGAUCCUUAAAUGUUGGGAAUGCUCAAAGCAUGACCUCAAACUACCAUUUCACAACAUCCGUCGUUGCUUGAAAAAAUAAAAAUAAAAAGGUUUAAGUAAGUUAAAUAACUAUCAUUCAUACAUACCCUCAGUCCAAACAUGACACUAAAGAUUCAUCGAUGAUAAUCAUUUCACAGAACCCCAACUAGAAGUUGGCAUCAGCAUGAGAUCUGCUUGGGAUGCAUAGCAUCUAUCAAGUCAUUACAAUACCACAUGUCCAAACAUAAUUACACAAGUGAGUGUUCUAAAACACA